RNAcentral lists this ribosomal RNA (274 nucleotides) under uncultured bacterium. RNAcentral's name for it is "partial 16S ribosomal RNA". It matches the Rfam family "Bacterial small subunit ribosomal RNA", at positions 523 to 796 of the family's 1533-position model. The record is from RNAcentral.
AUACAUAGGGGGCAAGCGUUGUCCGGAUUUAUUGGGCGUAAAGCGUCCGUAGGCGGUUUAUCAGGUCAAGUGUGAAAAUCCAUGGCUCAACUGUGGACUUGCAUUUGAAACCGAUAGACUAGAGUUCAGUAGGGGGAGAUGGAAUUCCAGGUGUAGCGGUGAAAUGCGUAGAUAUCUGGAAGAACACCAGUAGCGAAGGCGAUCUCCUGGGCUGUAACUGACGCUGAGGGACGAAAGCUAGGGUAGCAAACAGGAUUAGAAACCCCGGUAGUCC